Molecule: ribosomal RNA, 981 nt
Filed under: Prorocentrum bimaculatum
Lineage: Eukaryota; Dinophyceae; Prorocentrales; Prorocentraceae
Description: LSU rRNA
Rfam family: Eukaryotic large subunit ribosomal RNA
Source: RNAcentral
UACCCGCUGAAUUUAAGCAUAUAAGUAAGCGGAGGAUAAGAAUCAAACUAGGAUUCCCUCAGUAAUGGCGAAUGAACAGGGAGUAGCUCAGCGUGGAAAUUGAAGCCUCUGGCUUUGAAUUGUAGACUUGAGAUGCGCUGCCAUCGGAGGUGUAGAUGUAAGCCUCUUGGAAAAGAGCAUCGACGAGGGUGCGAGUCCUGUUUGUCAUCUGCAGUCCCCCAUGUACGGCGCGCUUCCCAAGAGUCACGUUCCUUGGAACUGGAGCGCAAAGCGGGUGGUGGCUUUCAUCUCAAGCUCAAUAUGGGUUUGAGACCGAUAGUAAACAAGUACCAUGAGGGAAAAGUGAAAAGGACUUUGAAAAGAGAGUUACAAGUGCCUGAAAUUGCUGGAAGGGAAGCGAAGGGAGCCAGAGUUGUUUGGCGACAUCUUCCACGCGCUAUUGCGAUGAAUCGCUGUCUCAACGAAAGUCAGCAAGCGAUCCCGAAAUGAAACGCGCGUAGUGUUUCUUGCCAUGCACGUCAACACCAAUUUGCUGAGGAGGAGCACUCCGGAGACGUGGCUGUCUGCCUUCGGGGAGUUGCAAGUGUCUGGUAGAACUCGCUUGUGAAUUGACAUAUUGCUGUCUGGUUGCAGCGCUCUGCAUUGGCUCAGCCCAACUCGAGCAAGCGGGGCGCGGUCCUGACGCGCAGACGAGGACCAAGUAGUUCCUUUCGACCCGUCUUGAAACACGGACCAAGGAGUCUAACGUAUCUGCGAGCUCGUGGGCGGGCAAACCUGUUUGCGCAAUUAAAGUGACUGCUGGGACUUCUGCACCAGCGCCCGAUCAAUCGAUUGAGAGAGGUUUGAGUGUGAGCAUAUCCGUUAGGACCCGAAAGAUGGUGAACUAUGCCUGAGAAGGGCAAACUCAGGGGAAACUCUGGUGGAGGCUUGCAGCGAUACUGACGUGCAAAUCGUUCGUCAUACUUGGGUAUAGGGGCGAAA